Molecule: ribosomal RNA, 460 nt
Filed under: uncultured bacterium
Lineage: Bacteria
Description: partial 16S ribosomal RNA
Rfam family: Bacterial small subunit ribosomal RNA
Source: RNAcentral
CCUACGGGGGGCAGCAGUGAGGAAUAUUGGUCAAUGGGCGGGAGCCUGAACCAGCCAAGUCGCGUGAGGGAAGACGGUCCUAUGGAUUGUAAACCUCUUUAGGCGGGGAGCAAUUGGCGCUACGUGUAGCGUUAUCGAGAGUACCUGAAGAAAAAGCAUCGGCUAACUCCGUGCCAGCAGCCGCGGUAAUACGGAGGAUGCGAGCGUUAUCCGGAUUUAUUGGGUUUAAAGGGUGCGUAGGCGGAAUGCCAAGUCAGCGGUAAAAUCGCGGGGCUCAACCUCGCUCCGCCGUUGAAACUGGCGUUCUUGAGUGGGCGAGAAGUAUGCGGAAUGCGUGGUGUAGCGGUGAAAUGCAUAGAUAUCACGCAGAACUCCGAUUGCGAAAGCAGCAUACCGGCGCCCAACUGACGCUGAAGCACGAAAGCGUGGGUAUCGAACAGGAUUAGAUACCCGGGUAGUC